Molecule: ribosomal RNA, 459 nt
Filed under: uncultured bacterium
Lineage: Bacteria
Description: partial 16S ribosomal RNA
Rfam family: Bacterial small subunit ribosomal RNA
Source: RNAcentral
CCUACGGGCGGCAGCAGUGAGGAAUAUUGGUCAAUGGCCGCAGGCCUGAACCAGCCAAGUCGCGUGAAGGAUGACGGUCCUAUGGAUUGUAAACCUCUUUUGUCAGGGAACAAAGUGCGCCACGUGUGGCGUUUUGCGAGUACCUUAUGAAAAAGCAUCGGCUAACUCCGUGCCAGCAGCCGCGGUAAUACGGAGGAUUCGAGCGUUAUCCGGAUUUAUUGGGUUUAAAGGGUGCGCAGGCGGAAUGUCAAGUCAGCGGUAAAAUUUCGGGGCUCAACCCCGUCGUGCCGUUGACACUGGCGGUCUGGAGUGAGCGAGAAGUAGGCGGAAUGCGUGGUGUAGCGGUGAAAUGCAUAGAUAUCACGCAGAACUCCGAUUGCGAAGGCAGCAUACCGGAGCGCAACUGACGCUGAUGCACGAAAGCGUGGGUAUCGAACAGGAUUAGAUACCCUGGUAGUC